Falco peregrinus (peregrine falcon) is the source of this 1742-nucleotide long non-coding RNA. RefSeq lists it as uncharacterized. The record is from RefSeq and is a predicted model, not a curated record. The transcript is spliced from 3 exons. Lineage: Eukaryota; Metazoa; Chordata; Aves; Falconiformes; Falconidae.
UCAGCAGAAGUGGAGAAACGGGGGUGGGAGAGAAUGUAAGAUGAAAAAACCUUGUGGGUCAAGACACGCACAGAAGCCAAGGAAGACAAAAGAUGUUAUUCUCUACUCCCCAUCAGCAGGCAAUGUUCGGCCACUUCCCAGGAAGAAGGACUUCAGUACACAUAGCAGUGUCUCCGGAAGACAAACAUCAUAAAUAACAAAUGCCCCCCCCUUCCUCCUCCUUUCUCUUAGCUUUUACUGCUGAGCAGACGUCGAAUGCUAUGGAACAUCCCCUUGGUCAAUUUGGGCCAGCUGCCCUGGCUGUGUCCCCUCCCAAGACCUUGCCCACCCCCAGCCUACUGGUGAGCAGCCCUGAUGCUGUGUGAGCGCUGCUCAGCAGCAGCCAGACCCUGGUGUGUCACCACCACCGUCCCAGCUACCGACACAAGCACAGCACUACGGGGGCUGCUGUGGGGCUCAGCCAGACCCAAUGCAGCAGCUUUUACUAGCAAUGAUUUUAUACCACAGGGUACAACACAAAGUAUUGUUCACGAGAAUGCCACAGGAAAGAUCACUGCCUUUUACAGCAGCUUACCAGGCAUCCUGAAGCAACUUUUUACUGCAUCAGGCCAGAGACAACUCUAUUAGCACAAAGGAUGUUCCAGAAAUGAGUGAAGCCCUCUAGAGCGAACAGCAGGGGCUUUUCUGGUGAACACAGGGUGGAGAGGACACAGCCUUCCCCCCAGAGAGCCAGCCAACACUGCAAUAGCUUCCCCUCCCAGUUCUGCAUCAGCCAUGUGGUAGGUGGCAAGUCUUAAGUUUUAACUUCUUAAAAUCUUGCUUGCUGAGUGCUCAGUUUGAUUUUUGUGAUUUGUGCCAACAUUUUCCUCUCUUUCCCAGCUUCUGGCUGCUGUGUGGAUGUCUCCUUAUGCUUCUCUUUCCCCAGCUUUCCAUCUCUGGAGGGAGGUGAGAGGUCUCCUCAAUUAUUUUUCUCUCGUGCAGGCCUCACAAAGAGAGUGAUUCAUUGCUGUAUUCGUGGAUUGUUGCUUGGAAUGGUGCAGGCCAGAAAACACCUCUACUUGGAGAUUCAAACUUAGGAGUUUCUGCACUCCUUAUCAUUCUAAUUCCUGGCAAAAGACCCUGAAUUGCAUGUUUUCAAUCCACAUAAACUUUAGAUGCUACUAGAUGACAUAAUUUAUAUAACCAAUGACUUUCUGACAUGGAUUUGGUCUGAUCAGAAUGAUAAAAAACUUUUCAGAUAAAACCUGACUCUUCUCAUUUCAAUAAACGCUCAUCCAAUUUCUCCUUGCAGUUAGAACUUUGCUGUAUUUCCUUAACAAUGGAGCUGAAAAACAUAAAGGACAAUGUAAAUGUACUGUUACCUUGUCCAUGAGCUUAUUGUGCAACCGCUAACCACUUCAAUCGUAACCAAAAUCCCAUGUAUCAAAGCCUGAACAUUCCUAAGUAGAUCUUUUCAUCCUAGCUGCUAAAUUACUCCUAUGGUCCUCCAGUCACAUCACCUACGUCAGUGCCAUGGGAACUGCAGUUUCUCAAUAAUUUCAUGCUUGCCUUUUUUCCUGGAAUCAUUGUCAAAGAAAAAGUUAGAAAUAGUAAAAAUACCAGGAUCGUAAAAAUGGCACUGCAAGACAAAUUUGAGAAAACCUGGAGGUUUUAAUCUCUCUGCCCAAUUGCUUCAGCCUAACUUAGGAUCAAAACCAGCUUUGUGUUUAAUACGAAGUCUUAAAGUUUGUCUAUGUUAUUUC